GCGGGGGUACCCAAGCGGUCAAAGGGGCUGGAUCUUGGAUUACAUGUAAUCCUCGAGGCUUAGCUAAGGACCCAGUAGCUUAGUGCUUUCCAGAGUUCGAAUCUCUGCCCCCGCA
This 115-nucleotide transfer RNA is filed under the name Candidatus Aenigmatarchaeota archaeon. RNAcentral's name for it is "tRNA-OTHER". It matches the Rfam family "tRNA". Rfam says of the family: Transfer RNA (tRNA) molecules are approximately 80 nucleotides in length. Their secondary structure includes four short double-helical elements and three loops (D, anti-codon, and T loops). Lineage: Archaea; Nanobdellati; Candidatus Aenigmatarchaeota. The record is from RNAcentral.